RNAcentral lists this ribosomal RNA (492 nucleotides) under uncultured bacterium. RNAcentral describes it as "partial 16S ribosomal RNA". It matches the Rfam family "Bacterial small subunit ribosomal RNA", at positions 29 to 507 of the family's 1533-position model. The record is from RNAcentral.
AGUGAACGCUGGCGGUAGGCCUAACACAUGCAAGUCGAACGGCAGCACAGUAAGAGCUUGCUCUUACGGGUGGCGAGUGGCGGACGGGUGAGGAAUACAUCGGAAUCUACUUUUUCGUGGGGGAUAACGUAGGGAAACUUACGCUAAUACCGCAUACGACCUACGGGUGAAAGCAGGGGAUCUUCGGACCUUGCGCGAUUCAAUGAGCCGAUGUCGGAUUAGCUAGUUGGCGGGGUAAAGGCCCACCAAGGCAACGAUCCGUAGCUGGUCUGAGAGGAUGAUCAGCCACACUGGAACUGAGACACGGUCCGGACUCCUACGGGAGGCAGCAGUGGGGAAUAUUGGACGAUGGGCGCAAGCCUGAUCCAGCCAUACCGCGUGGGUGAAGAAGGCCUUCGGGUUGUAAAGCCCUUUUGUUGGGAAAGAAAAGCAGCAGGUUAAUACCCCGCUGUUCUGACGGUACCCAAAGAAUAAGCACCGGCUAACUUCGUG